AAGGAUUUAAGUUAAAAAGUAAACUAGUAACCUUCAAAGUUACCAAUAGAAGUAUUUAAGCCUUA
This 65-nucleotide transfer RNA is filed under the name Epiverta chelonia. Its description in RNAcentral is "tRNA-Trp". The record is from RNAcentral. Lineage: Eukaryota; Metazoa; Arthropoda; Insecta; Coleoptera; Coccinellidae.